GAUGAACGCUGGCGGCGUGCCUAAUACAUGCAAGUCGAGCGAACAGACGAGGAGCUUGCUCCUCUGACGUUAGCGGCGGACGGGUGAGUAACACGUGGAUAACCUACCUAUAAGACUGGGAUAACUUCGGGAAAACGGAGCUAAUACCGGAUAAUAUAUUGAACCGUAAGGUUCAAUAGUGAAAGACGGUUUUGCUGUCACUUAUAGAUGGAUCCGCGCCGCAUUAGCUAGUUGGUAAGGUAACGGCUUACCAAGGCAACGAUGCGUAGCCGACCUGAGAGGGUGAUCGGCCACACUGGAACUGAGACACGGUCCAGACUCCUACGGGAGGCAGCAGUAGGGAAUCUUCCGCAAUGGGCGAAAGCCUGACGGAGCAACGCCGCGUGAGUGAUGAAGUUCUUCGGAUCUUAAAUCUCUGUUAUUAGUGAAGAACAAAUGUGUAAGUAACUAUGCACGUCUUGACGGUACCUAAUCAGAAAGCCACGGCUAACUACGUG
Molecule: ribosomal RNA, 497 nt
Filed under: uncultured bacterium
Lineage: Bacteria
Description: partial 16S ribosomal RNA
Rfam family: Bacterial small subunit ribosomal RNA
Source: RNAcentral